AGAGUUUGAUCCUGGCUCAGGACGAACGCUGGCGGCGUGCUUAACACAUGCAAGUCGAACGAUGAAGCCGGAGCUUGCUCUGGUGAAUUAGUGGCGAACGGGUGAGUAACACGUGAGCAACCUGCCCUUCACUCUGGGAUAACUGCGGGAAACUGUAGCUAAUACCGGAUAUGAGGCUCUGAGGCAUCUCAGAGCUUGGAAAGAAUUUCGGUGAAGGAUGGGCUCGCGGCCUAUCAGCUUGUUGGUGAGGUAAAGGCUCACCAAGGCGACGACGGGUAGCCGGCCUGAGAGGGUGACCGGCCACACUGGAACUGAGACACGGUCCAGACUCCUACGGGAGGCAGCAGUGGGGAAUAUUGCACAAUGGGCGCAAGCCUGAUGCAGCAACGCCGCGUGAGGGAUGAAGGCCUUCGGGUUGUAAACCUCUUUUAGCAGGGAAGAAGCGAAAGUGACGGUACCUGCAGAAAAAGCACCGGCUAACUACGUGCCAGCAGCCGCGGUAAUACGUAGGGUGCAAGCGUUGUCCGGAAUUAUUGGGCGUAAAGAGCUCGUAGGCGGUUUGUCGCGUCUGCUGUGAAAACCAGAAGCUCAACUUCUGGCCUGCAGUGGGUACGGGCAAACUAGAGUGCGGUAGGGGAGAACGGAAUUCCUGGUGUAGCGGUGGAAUGCGCAGAUAUCAGGAGGAACACCGAUGGCGAAGGCAGUUCUCUGGGCCGUUACUGACGCUGAGGAGCGAAAGCGUGGGGAGCGAACAGGAUUAGAUACCCUGGUAGUCCACGCCGUAAACGGUGGGUGCUAGCUGUGGGCCACAUUCCACGUGGUCCGUGACGAAGUUAACACAUUAAGCACCCCGCCUGGGGAGUACGGCCGCAAGGCUAAAACUCAAAGGAAUUGACGGGGGCCCGCACAAGCGGCGGAGCAUGCGGAUUAAUUCGAUGCAACGCGA
Molecule: ribosomal RNA, 946 nt
Filed under: marine metagenome
Description: bacterial SSU rRNA
Rfam family: Bacterial small subunit ribosomal RNA
Source: RNAcentral